Molecule: long non-coding RNA, 332 nt
Organism: Gambusia affinis (western mosquitofish)
Lineage: Eukaryota; Metazoa; Chordata; Actinopteri; Cyprinodontiformes; Poeciliidae
Exons: 3
Source: RefSeq, a predicted model, not a curated record
UGUCACGUGACCGACCACUUGACACAACAGACGAAGGAACCGGAAAUGUAGCGAUUAUUCAUCCAAAAAUCCAUCAUGUGGAGUUUAAAUAGCACAAUAUAUGUUUUAUUGAGGACGUGGCUUGUUUGUGUUUCGCUUUUCUUCAGCCUCGGACUGGCUGGGAAAAUGAAGAUUGUGGAGGAGCCAAACACGUUCGGGCUGAACAACCCGUUCAUGGCGCAGGGAAACAGGCUGCAGCCCAAAGUCUCUCCAGCGCCUGUGUCUGGUAAAGUGAAAUGAUCUCAUUUGAACCCUGAGACAUUCUGAAGGUCUUAAACCUGGUCACUUUGGAA